UACGUAGGCAGCGAGCGUUGUUCGGAGUUACUGGGCGUAAAGGGGUGUGUAGGCGGUUGUUUAAGUUUGGUGUGAAAUCUCCCGCCUCAACCGGGAGGGUGCGCCGAAUACUGAAUGACUAGAGUGCGGGAGAGGAAAGUGGAAUUCCUGGUGUAGCGGUGAAAUGCGUAGAUAUCAGGAGGAACACCGGUGGUGUAGACGGCUUUCUGGACCGUAACUGACGCUGAGACACGAAAGGCGUGGGUAGCAAACAGGG
RNAcentral lists this ribosomal RNA (256 nucleotides) under uncultured bacterium. RNAcentral's name for it is "partial 16S ribosomal RNA". It matches the Rfam family "Bacterial small subunit ribosomal RNA", at positions 524 to 777 of the family's 1533-position model. The record is from RNAcentral.